GGCGACGGGUGAGUAACACGUAAGAAUUUGCCUUUAGGAGGGGGACAACAACUGGAAACGGUUGCUAAUACCCCAUAUGCUUUCGAGUGAAAUGGAUUUCCGCCUAAAGAGAAGCUUGCGGCUGAUUAGCUUGUUGGUGAGGUAAUGGCUCACCAAGGCGACGAUCAGUAUCUGGUUUGAGAGGACGAUCAGACACACUGGAACUGAGACACGGUCCAGACUCCUACGGGAGGCAGCAGUGGGGAAUUUUCCGCAAUGGGCGAAAGCCUGACGGAGCAAUACCGCGUGAGGGAUGACGGCCUAUGGGUUGUAAACCUCUUUUUUCAGGGAGGAAUCAAUGACGUGUACCUGAAGAAUAAGCAUCGGCUAACUCCGUGCCAGCAGCCGCGGUAAGACGGAGGAUGCAAGUGUUAUCCGGAAUCACUGGGCGUAAAGCGUCU
RNAcentral lists this ribosomal RNA (440 nucleotides) under uncultured cyanobacterium. Its description in RNAcentral is "bacterial SSU rRNA". It matches the Rfam family "Bacterial small subunit ribosomal RNA", at positions 97 to 570 of the family's 1533-position model. The record is from RNAcentral. Lineage: Bacteria; Bacillati; Cyanobacteriota.